UACGAAGGGGGCGAGCGUUGUUCGGAGUUACUGGGCGUAAAGGGCGCGUAGGCGGCGAUCCAAGUUAGGCGUGAAAGCCCCGGGCUUAACCUGGGAAUUGCGCUUAAGACUGGACUGCUUGAGUGCGGGAGAGGUGAGUGGAAUUCCCAGUGUAGAGGUGAAAUUCGUAGAUAUUGGGAAGAACACCAGUGGCGAAGGCGGCUCACUGGCCCGCAACUGACACUGAGGCGCGAAAGCGUGGGGAGCAAACAGG
Molecule: ribosomal RNA, 253 nt
Filed under: uncultured bacterium
Lineage: Bacteria
Description: partial 16S ribosomal RNA
Rfam family: Bacterial small subunit ribosomal RNA
Source: RNAcentral